Gossypium hirsutum (cotton) is the source of this 107-nucleotide non-coding RNA. The record is from Rfam. Lineage: Eukaryota; Viridiplantae; Streptophyta; Magnoliopsida; Malvales; Malvaceae.
AACCCACGGUGCGAGCACUUCCUCAAUAGAUCCUUAUACCUCUCUCAUGCAUCGUAUAGGGUCUCUAAGUCCAUUUGCACAAAGGAAGAGAUAUCAUUCCUCAACUU